AACGCGGUAAAAUAUUCUAUUAAUUUAUUGAAAUUUGAUGAUAUACCAGCAUGAAAUUGCCGGAUCCGUGAAUUACAAUUCUGAUUUACGUGCAAUUAUAUAUUAGCGAUACGAUUUAUUAUUUGCAUAACUUAAAAAUUACCUACAAAAUAAUGGGAGGUGUAGAGAAAAAUGUUAAUGGGGCUAAAAUUCAUUCCUAAAAACCCAAAACUUAAAUUAACUUUUUCCACUUUUCAAACAUUAAAAUUGGCCAAUGUCUAAAAGACAAGUGGCGUUUAAUUUUAAAAAAUGCAAGCCCCAAAACUUAAAAAAUAAAUCAAAAACAAAAUGAUGAAUCUAUUUCAUCUGAUGCCUCUAUACUCUCUUGGAAACGCAAGUGAGGAUCAUCAAAGCAGCAGCUAGAUUACCACACAUUUCAUUUACAACUAUCAUAUUGUUGUACCAAUAUCACAGUGCCAUAGUCCAACCCAAGCAUGGCAUAAUCAGACCGAAACUUGCACACAAUGCAUAACGUAUGACAUACAUACUAACAUGAUAAUUACAUUACUAUGGUUUGAAUAAACUAAAUGAUAGCAAAUGACAUACAUAUAUACCAUUCUAUCAGACUUCAAUAGCUAAGCAUAUACAAUUGAAUAAAACAUAGAUAAUAAACCGGAAGAAGGAACAAUGGCUUAAAUGUAAGUAGAAGUUUACCGAAGCCGAGACCAAAAAGGAUACGUGACGAAAUUGAAGAGAAUGAAACUAUUU
Molecule: long non-coding RNA, 747 nt
Filed under: Lathyrus oleraceus (garden pea)
Lineage: Eukaryota; Viridiplantae; Streptophyta; Magnoliopsida; Fabales; Fabaceae
Description: Pisum sativum (pea) long non-coding RNA (PSAT_LNC026394)
Source: RNAcentral